CAGUCGCCACGUGAAUACGUAGGGUGCAAGCGUUAAUCGGAAUUACUGGGCGUAAAGCGUGCGCAGGCGGUUAUAUAAGACAGAUGUGAAAUCCCCGGGCUCAACCUGGGAACUGCAUUUGUGACUGUAUAGCUAGAGUACGGCAGAGGGGGAUGGAAUUCCGCGUGUAGCAGUGAAAUGCGUAGAUAUGCGGAGGAACACCGAUGGCGAAGGCAAUCCCCUUGGCCUGUACUGACGCUCAUGCACGAAAGCGUGGGGAGCAAACAGGAUUAGAUACCCCGGUAGUCCCUGUCUCUUAUAC
RNAcentral lists this ribosomal RNA (301 nucleotides) under uncultured bacterium. RNAcentral's name for it is "partial 16S ribosomal RNA". It matches the Rfam family "Bacterial small subunit ribosomal RNA", at positions 509 to 807 of the family's 1533-position model. The record is from RNAcentral.